Molecule: ribosomal RNA, 398 nt
Filed under: uncultured bacterium
Lineage: Bacteria
Description: bacterial SSU rRNA
Rfam family: Bacterial small subunit ribosomal RNA
Source: RNAcentral
AUUGAACGCUGGCGGCAUGCCUUACACAUGCAAGUCGAACGGCAGCACGGGGGCAACCCUGGUGGCGAGUGGCGAACGGGUGAGUAACAUAUCGGAACAUACCCUAGAGUGGGGGAUAACGUAGCGAAAGUUACGCUAAUACCGCAUACGAUCUAAGGAUGAAAGUGGGGGAUCUUCGGACCUCAUGCUCAUGGAGUGGCCGAUAUCUGAUUAGCUAGUUGGUGAGGUAAAGGCUCACCAAGGCGACGAUCAGUAGCUGGUUUGAGAGAACGACCAGCCACACUGGAACUGAGACACGGUCCAGACUCCUACGGAGGCAGCAGUGGGGAAUUUUGGGACAAUGGGGGCAACCCUGAUCCAGCAAUGCCGCGUGAGUGAAGAAGGCCUUCGGUUGUAAG